GACGAACGCUGGCGGCGUGCCUAAUACAUGCAAGUAGAACGCUGAAGGAGGAGCUUGCUCUUCUGGAUGAGUUGCGAACGGGUGAGUAACGCGUAGGUAACCUGCCUGGUAGCGGGGGAUAACUAUUGGAAACGAUAGCUAAUACCGCAUAAGAGUAGAUGUUGCAUGACAUUUACUUAAAAGGUGCAAUUGCAUCACUACCAGAUGGACCUGCGUUGUUUUAGCUAGUUGGUGGGGUAACGGCUUACCAAGGCGACGAUACAUAGCCGACCUGAGAGGGUGAUCGGCCACACUGGGACUGGGACACGGCCCAGACUCCUACGGGAGGCAGCAGUAGGGAAUCUUCGGCAAUAGACGGAAGUCUGACCGAGCAACGCCGCGUGAGUGAAGAAGGUUUUCGGAUCGUAAAGAUCUGUUGUAAGAGAAGAACGAGUGUGAGAGUGGAAAGUUCACACUGUGACGGUAUCUUACCAGAAAGGGACGGCUAACUACGUG
Molecule: ribosomal RNA, 495 nt
Filed under: uncultured bacterium
Lineage: Bacteria
Description: partial 16S ribosomal RNA
Rfam family: Bacterial small subunit ribosomal RNA
Source: RNAcentral